RNAcentral lists this ribosomal RNA (253 nucleotides) under uncultured bacterium. RNAcentral describes it as "partial 16S ribosomal RNA". It matches the Rfam family "Bacterial small subunit ribosomal RNA", at positions 524 to 776 of the family's 1533-position model. The record is from RNAcentral.
UACGUAGGGUGCAAGCGUUGUCCGGAAUUAUUGGGCGUAAAGAGCUCGUAGGCGGUCUGUCGCGUCGGCUGUGAAAACCCGUGGCUCAACCCCGGGCCUGCAGUCGAUACGGGCAGACUAGAGUGCGGUAGGUGAGACUGGAAUUCCUGGUGUAGCGGUGAAAUGCGCAGAUAUCAGGAGGAACACCGGUGGCGAAGGCGGGUCUCUGGGCCGUAACUGACGCUGAGGAGCGAAAGCGUGGGGAGCGAACAGG